RNAcentral lists this ribosomal RNA (503 nucleotides) under uncultured bacterium. RNAcentral's name for it is "bacterial SSU rRNA". It matches the Rfam family "Bacterial small subunit ribosomal RNA", at positions 8 to 526 of the family's 1533-position model. The record is from RNAcentral.
AGAGUUUGAUCAUGGCUCAGGACGAACGCUGGCGGCGUGCUUAACACAUGCAAGUCGAGCGGAAAGGCCCUUUCGGGGGUACUCGAGCGGCGAACGGGUGAGUAACACGUGAGUAAUCUGCCCCAGGCUCUGGGAUAGCCACCGGAAACGGUGAUUAAUACCGGAUAUGACCGGCUGCCGCAUGGUGGUUGGUGGAAAGUUUUUUCGGCUUGGGAUGUGCUCGCGGCCUAUCAGCUUGUUGGUGGGGUAAUGGCCUACCAAGGCUUUGACGGGUAGCCGGCCUGAGAGGGUGACCGGCCACACUGGGACUGAGACACGGCCCAGACUCCUACGGGAGGCAGCAGUGGGGAAUAUUGGACAAUGGGCGGAAGCCUGAUCCAGCAACGCCGCGUGAGGGAUGACGGCCUUCGGGUUGUAAACCUCUUUCAGUGCAGACGAAGCGAGAGUGACGGUAGGCGCAGAAGAAGCACCGGCCAACUACGUGCCAGCCGCCGCGGUAAUAC